This 710-nucleotide ribosomal RNA is filed under the name Salmonella enterica subsp. enterica serovar Dublin. RNAcentral's name for it is "partial 23S ribosomal RNA". It matches the Rfam family "Bacterial large subunit ribosomal RNA", at positions 1 to 1190 of the family's 2925-position model. Lineage: Bacteria; Pseudomonadati; Pseudomonadota; Gammaproteobacteria; Enterobacterales; Enterobacteriaceae. The record is from RNAcentral.
CCCCACCACUAAGCCAGUGGUGAACUCCACAUACGCAUCCUUUGCUGAGGAUACGGUUAACGGAGCGAAAGCGACGUUCAACCGCAAAAGAAGCAGAGGGGGCUUAGUGGUGGGGUGACUGCGUACCUUUUGUAUAAUGGGUCAGCGACUUAUAUUCUGUAGCAAGGUUAACCGAAUAGGGGAGCCGGAGGGAAACCGAGUCUUAACCGGGCGUUAAGUUGCAGGGUAUAGACCCGAAACCCGGUGAUCUAGCCAUGGGCAGGUUGAAGGUUGGGUAACACUAACUGGAGGACCGAACCGACUAAUGUUGAAAAAUUAGCGGAUGACCUGUGGCUGGGGGUGAAAGGCCAAUCAAACCGGGAGAUAGCUGGUUCUCCCCGAAAGCUAUUUAGGUAGCGCCUCGUGAAUUCAUCUCCGGGGGUAGAGCACUGUUUCGGCUAGGGGGCCAUCCCGGCUUACCAACCCGAUGCAAACUGCGAAUACCGGAGAAUGUUAUCACGGGAGACACACGGCGGGUGCUAACGUCCGUCGUGAAGAGGGAAACAACCCAGACCGCCAGCUAAGGUCCCAAAGUCAUGGUUAAGUGGGAAACGAUGUGGGAAGGCCCAGACAGCCAGGAUGUUGGCUUAGAAGCAGCCAUCAUUUAAAGAAAGCGUAAUAGCUCACUGGUCGAGUCGGCCUGCGCGGAAGAUGUAACGGGGCUAAACCAU